UACAGAGGGGGCAAGCGUUGUUCGGAAUUACUGGGCGUAAAGGGCGCGUAGGCGGCCUGUUAAGUCGAACGUGAAAUCCCCGGGCUCAACCCGGGAACUGCGUCCGAUACUGGCAGGCUUGAAUCCGGGAGAGAGAUGCGGAAUUCCAGGUGUAGCGGUGAAAUGCGUAGAUAUCUGGAGGAACACCGGUGGCGAAGGCGGCAUCCUGGACCGGUAUUGACGCUGAUGCGCGAAAGCCAGGGGAGCAAACGGG
RNAcentral lists this ribosomal RNA (253 nucleotides) under uncultured bacterium. RNAcentral's name for it is "partial 16S ribosomal RNA". It matches the Rfam family "Bacterial small subunit ribosomal RNA", at positions 524 to 776 of the family's 1533-position model. The record is from RNAcentral.